This 84-nucleotide transfer RNA is filed under the name Angustibacter aerolatus. Its description in RNAcentral is "tRNA-Ser". It matches the Rfam family "tRNA". From Rfam's summary of the family: Transfer RNA (tRNA) molecules are approximately 80 nucleotides in length. Their secondary structure includes four short double-helical elements and three loops (D, anti-codon, and T loops). Further hydrogen bonds mediate the characteristic L-shaped molecular structure. tRNAs have two regions of fundamental functional importance: the anti-codon, which is responsible for specific mRNA codon recognition, and the 3' end, to which the tRNAs corresponding amino acid is attached (by aminoacyl-tRNA synthetases). tRNAs cope with the degeneracy of the genetic code in two manners: having more than one tRNA (with a specific anti-codon) for a particular amino acid; and 'wobble' base-pairing, i.e. permitting non-standard base-pairing at the 3rd anti-codon position. Lineage: Bacteria; Bacillati; Actinomycetota; Actinomycetes; Kineosporiales; Kineosporiaceae. The record is from RNAcentral.
GGAGGGCUCGCAUAGUGGCCGAGUGCGGCGGUCUUGAAAACCGCUGGGGGUGCUCCUCGUGGGUUCGAAUCCCACGCCCUCCGC